Molecule: long non-coding RNA, 1948 nt
Organism: Drosophila sechellia
Lineage: Eukaryota; Metazoa; Arthropoda; Insecta; Diptera; Drosophilidae
Exons: 3
Source: RefSeq, a predicted model, not a curated record
CAAGCACUCGGCAGCUAGAAGAAGACACCCUCAAAAGAUGGAACACCGCAGCGGCCAAUAUGGCGACCCUUGCCAUUUCCCAUUACACUUUCCCUGCCCACCAGCCCCCACCCCCUCCUUACAGCCCUUCUUCGCACCCACUCACACUCACACUACCGAAAUUAACGCAAAACAAAUGAAGCACACGCAUGUGCCGCCGCCGCAGUCGCAGUCGACGUUGGCAGCGAACUCAAGCGCAUCGCAACAACUACAGACGCAACAAAUGAGCAGAAUUGCAUUUUGUGCAUUUCGACCCCCAAAAAGUGUAAGCUGGACGCAAAAAUGCAAAUGAGAGGCGGCAGACAGUAAUCCCCCAUGGAUGAACGGGCUAGCGGGGCGGGGGCGGGUGAUGGUGCGUUGCGAGAGGGAGAUGGACUGACCGCCCAUUCCACUCAUCGAAGUUGCUUGGACCUAUCUACACCACUCAAAAUCUGGAGUUGGUUCGUCGGGUGCCCAGCAAUCCAUGUACUACUACUGCAAGGUGACCGAUGCGGACAGGGCCACAGGUGGCGGCGGCAUGCUUUAAUAUGAUAUGAUUUAGACUUAUGCUUGAUAUUUAAAUCAUUAAAUAUAUUAUAAAAUCGUUAUCAAUUUCGUGCAGGUCAACGCUCUCAACGCACUCGCACACACACGCAGCCAAACAAACGCAUCGUAAUUGCAUUGGACCGUUCAAUAAAUAAAUUGGCAAGUGUUGUUGUUAUUGUUGCUAUCAAUUUGCUGGAAGGGAGAGCCAGAGUGAGUAAAACGGAUCAGCGAGAGAGGAACAACAAGUUCUUAUUUCUCAAUUAAAUUAAAUGUCAGUCCUAAUUUAACCGUCAUUGAGUUCGGAUCGAUCGGUUACAAUAAUUUAAGGUGCAGCUGUGUGAAAAGUUUCCCUUUUCCACAAUCAAAGAAAUUUAAUCACUAACAGAGGCAAAAAAAGAGCAAAAGAAACAAACGAGCAAGGCAGAGCAAGUAAAACGGACAGAAAAAACUUUCAUUUUCAAUGUCAAGCAACAAUAACAACAACAAAAAAACGUCUGCCGGUUGGGGGAGGCGAUUUUGUGAUGAGAGAGCCAAAAAGAGAGAGCGGAAUUAAGAAAGAGAAAGGAAGAAGGUUUUUGAUUUUGGCGGGAGAGCGCUUUUUGCCCCUCUCGAUAACACUGCCACACCGCUCUCUCCCCUUUUCCGUCCCGCUCACGCCAUGUGGUUACAACCAGACGCGUGGCCUUUGCAACAACAACAGUCUUACAACAAUAGAUGCACAUACUGACACUCGCCGCACACUCGCACUCGCACAGAUGGGCAAAAUAUUGAAAAAUUGCCAAAAUAAGAGACCAGACAUUUUUCGAAUGUCGAAAGCAAGAUAUACUAUACACACCAUAUAUCAUAUAAUGGGAAGAGCUCUUGAAAACUCACCAUGCUCAUAAGGCGAAAAGGUUCCAGCAUCUAUAUUGAUAUAGGGGUCAAUCUUGAUUGAGGUUACAUCCAGACCACAGGAUUUCAAAAGCGUUCCGAACGAGGAGGCAAUCACUCCUUUUCCCACGCCACUAAUGACGCCGCCAGUGACCAGGAUGUAUUUCAUCUUUCCGUCUCGAAUGUCGAACUAUCGGAUCACCAAAUCUCGCGGAUAAUUGUAUUAUCGGUUCAAUUCGCGAUGGACACUCAAUCUGGGGCAAUCCGAGCAACAAUUGCGUUGUUUAUUUGCCUUUCUAUGCACGUGGUUUUUGAAUUAAGAAAUUAGAAAUUCGCAUGUAUGGUAUGACCACCACUCAUUUUAAUGAUAAUACCAGUGACUCACGUGUGUUGUUAAACGUCACAAAACCGCGCAGAUGUGAACAUCUACAUUUCUCUUACAUGACUACAUGACUACUACAUGACUCCUCGCACUGAAAAAUAAACAAGAAUCAAAUAUCAUUUUAGCAUAGAA